GGGGGGUCCUACAAGGAGUAAAUUUCUGUCAGCAAAUUGAAAGGCCACUCAGAGUUCACAGUAGCAAUUCAUAUUUUUAACUGGUUGCCCAGACCUAAAUCUUCACCUCCACAAAUUCCAGAGAGACCUUAGUAGCUGUGAAAGAAGGAACAGUGAUGAAGUCGGAAGGGGUGGGGACAGGAGGGUGACAAGGUAAGAAGACAGCAGCUGAGUUCUGCAUCUUCAAGGGGCUCAGUGCCAACAGCUCAAGAGGAAGGGCCCGCACUUUGGGGGUGGAGUCAUAUAGAAGCUUCUAGAUACUUGAAACAUCACUCCCAGAAACGAAACUGGCUUAGAAGAAGCCUCAUGCUACAUUCUGAAGUCAUCUGAACAUAGAGGCUUGACUCUGCAUGAAGGAAAGCAAGUACAAAGUUCACUUCUGCUUUCUGCAGAGGGUCAGAAGAGGAAGUCACAGAUGAACAGCUGCUGAUUAUAGCCCUGGCUGGUCUUGAACACCUGAUCCUUCAGUCUGAAGUCUCCCAAGCUGGGAUUUACUAAGGGCACAAGGACCUACUCCUGUCUCCAAAUGCAGUAUUAAAAGGACUACUGAUGCUGAGAACUUCACCAUGCUUACUGGCCAUCUGAACAGUCUUUGAAGGAAUGACAGGCUUCAAGGAAUACUCAGCUGGACAACAGAAGGAACUGAAUUCUGUCAGCACCUCAAAUGAGUGAGGUGACAGAUGUUUCCAAGAGCCUCUAGAGGGAAUGCAAGCCUUGACAAGACCUCGAUGCUAGUCCUAUGGCAUUCACAUUGGACUUCUUAUGACCUAUGGAACUGUAAGAGCGUAGACCCGUGUUGCUUGAGCCACUAUUUUGUGGAAAUCCACGACAGAAGCAAAUAGAAAACUAAUACAAUAAAGUCCUCUUUCUUGCUCAUGUCAUUAACUCUAGUGUCUGGUCAAGAAGGAUGUAUAUCCACGAGUAGGGAGAAUAGUGCUGAGUUAAGCUGGGUGUGAAUCUUCCCUAUGUCACAUACUAGCUGAAGACUGAACAAACAAUCUUUUAGAGCCCUCUUCCCUCAAGAAAUGGCUAUAAUGGUAAUGAAUGGAGAAUGAGAGACCACAAUAAUGCCUGGCAUAGAGUGGAGUUUCAUUAAGUGAUUUGUUAAUAUAAUAUAAAUUAAAGUUAACAUUGAUGUAUUUUAGGUAUGAAAAGAAGCACCAUAGUCAAAUACAGCAUCACAGAACCAACAACAAAACACCCAGAUAAAUUAGAUUUCAUAAAAAUAAAAAAAAAUUAGAUGCUAUCAAACUUAAAGACAAUUUAUGUGACAGGAAAUAAUAUCUGCAGAUCAUAUAACUUAUAAGGGUACUGUCCAGAAUAUAUAAAGAUACCUUAAAGCCAACAACAAAGACAGGUAACACAAAGUAAAAACUGAUCCAAGGGUCAUAUAGACAUUUUUUAGAGAUGGUAUGUUUGAAUACUUAGUCCCCCAUUUGGUAGAACUCUUUGGGGAGGAUUAGAUGUGACCUUAUUGGAGGAGGUGUGUCAUUGGGGGUGGGCUCAGAUGUUUCAAAAGUCCACAUCAUUCCCAUUUAGCUUUCUCCAUCUCAUGGCUGUGUUUUAGGAUGUAAGCUCUCAGCUACUGGUCCAGGGCCAUCCAUGCCUGCCUGCCUGUUGUCAUGUUCCCUAUCAUGGGAUGGUCAUGGACUCACCCUCUGAAACUGGAAGCUCCAAUAAAUUCUUUCUCCUUUAA
Peromyscus californicus insignis is the source of this 1735-nucleotide long non-coding RNA. RefSeq lists it as uncharacterized. The record is from RefSeq and is a predicted model, not a curated record. Lineage: Eukaryota; Metazoa; Chordata; Mammalia; Rodentia; Cricetidae. The transcript is spliced from 3 exons.